Long non-coding RNA from Gallus gallus (chicken), 400 nucleotides. NCBI's taxonomy places the organism in Eukaryota, Metazoa, Chordata, Aves, Galliformes, Phasianidae. The record is from Ensembl.
CUGUGAAGUGGGCAGGCACAAAGCCAUCUGCCGUGACUUAUGCAACAGAGGUUCCUUAAAAGGCCAUAGAUUUUCUCUGGGGAAGCUGAACAAAGUGUCUGCUGCAGCAGGUCUGAAAGAGAAUAUGAUCUGAAUGGCAGUUGAGCAACAAAGCAACUUGCAGGAGUGGCGUUAAAUGGUAACAAUUUAUUUCUUCAAGAUUACUCAGAGGUAUCACUAUUAUCCCUCAUAUUGGCACAGGCAUGUACUUACUCGGUGAAGACACUACACAAUAAAGUGGAAGAAAAGGCAAGGCAUAGAAAAAGAUUUCCCAGAAUGGCAAGUUUUCAUCACAGGUUUUCAUCAUCUCAAUUCUCUACAUUUUCCUUCUCCAGCUACACAGAAAGAAUUCUAAGCACUG